AUUGAACGCUGGCGGCAGGCCUAACACAUGCAAGUCGAACGGUAACAGGAAGAAGCUUGCUUCUUUGCUGACGAGUGGCGGACGGGUGAGUAAUGUCUGGGAAACUGCCUGAUGGAGGGGGAUAACUACUGGAAACGGUAGCUAAUACCGCAUAACGUCGCAAGACCAAAAAGGGGGACCUUCGGGCCUCUUGCCAUCGGAUGUGCCCAGAUGGGAUUAGCUAGUAGGUGGGGUAACGGCUCACCUAGGCGACGAUCCCUAGCUGGUCUGAGAGGAUGACCAGCCACACUGGAACUGAGACACGGUCCAGACUCCUACGGGAGGCAGCAGUGGGGAAUAUUGCACAAUGGGCGCAAGCCUGAUGCAGCCAUGCCGCGUGUAUGAAGAAGGCCUUCGGGUUGUAAAGUACUUUCAGCGGGGAGGAAGGGAGUAAAGUUAAUACCUUUGCUCAUUGACGUUACCCGCAGAAGAAACACCGGCUAACUCCGU
RNAcentral lists this ribosomal RNA (489 nucleotides) under uncultured bacterium. RNAcentral describes it as "partial 16S ribosomal RNA". It matches the Rfam family "Bacterial small subunit ribosomal RNA", at positions 30 to 506 of the family's 1533-position model. The record is from RNAcentral.